AUGCACCCGUAGCUCAGCUGGAUAGAGUACCUGACUACGAAUCAGGGGGUCAGAGGUUCGAAUCCUCUCGGGUGCACCAC
This 80-nucleotide transfer RNA is filed under the name Octadecabacter arcticus 238. RNAcentral describes it as "tRNA-Arg". It matches the Rfam family "tRNA". Rfam says of the family: Transfer RNA (tRNA) molecules are approximately 80 nucleotides in length. Their secondary structure includes four short double-helical elements and three loops (D, anti-codon, and T loops). The record is from RNAcentral. Lineage: Bacteria; Pseudomonadati; Pseudomonadota; Alphaproteobacteria; Rhodobacterales; Roseobacteraceae.